This is a long non-coding RNA of Pocillopora damicornis (cauliflower coral), 342 nucleotides long. The record is from RefSeq and is a predicted model, not a curated record. NCBI's taxonomy places the organism in Eukaryota, Metazoa, Cnidaria, Anthozoa, Scleractinia, Pocilloporidae.
CAAUGUUAAUAACACCUGUGAUCCUCCAGAAUUGUUGACAUCAUUUACAGUGGGCACUUAAUUGGAAUAAUGCUUAACACAAAACAGAUUGAUUCAGUCAAGAGGUGAUAAGCUUGGUAUAUAGUGUAUUUUUCUUCAAGCAAAAGAAGACUGGUGGAAGGGAACUGCAAAACUUAACCAAGCAUCAACAAGGAUUAUCAUCAUCAUUUCAGUUGAGAAAUUAUAGCUGUGAUAGACGGACAAGGAGAACUUCAGAAGAUAUGAACAUUUAAAAACUUUUUUGUACUCGUUGUAUCAGUUUUGAGGAAAACAUGUGUAACAAAACCAAGUAAAAAUAACCUA